RNAcentral lists this ribosomal RNA (253 nucleotides) under uncultured bacterium. Its description in RNAcentral is "partial 16S ribosomal RNA". It matches the Rfam family "Bacterial small subunit ribosomal RNA", at positions 524 to 776 of the family's 1533-position model. The record is from RNAcentral.
UACGGAGGGUGCUAGCGUUGUUCGGAAUCACUGGGCGGAAAGGGCGUGUAGGCGGUCUGUUAAGUCUGAUGUGAAAUCCCCUCGCUCAACGAGGGAACUGCGUCGGAUACUGGCAGACUCGAGUACCGGAGAGGAAGGUGGAAUUCCCGGUGUAGCGGUGAAAUGCGUAGAGAUCCGGAGGAACACCAGUGGCGAAGGCGACACGCUGGGCCGUACCUGACACUGAACCGCGACAGCAUGGGGAGCAAACAGG